UACGAAGGGGGCUAGCGUUGUUCGGAAUUACUGGGCGUAAAGCGCGUGUAGGCGGUUGUUCAAGUCGGGUGUGAAAGCCUUGAGCUCAACUCAAGAGAUGCACUCGAUACUGGAUGACUUGAGGACCGGAGAGGAUAGUGGAAUUCCCAGUGUAGUGGUGAAAUACGUAGAGAUUGGGAAGAACACCAGUGGCGAAGGCGGCUAUCUGGACGGUUUCUGACGCUAAGACGCGAAAGCGUGGGGAGCGAACAGG
This 253-nucleotide ribosomal RNA is filed under the name uncultured bacterium. RNAcentral describes it as "partial 16S ribosomal RNA". It matches the Rfam family "Bacterial small subunit ribosomal RNA", at positions 524 to 776 of the family's 1533-position model. The record is from RNAcentral.